Long non-coding RNA from Rhineura floridana, 774 nucleotides. RefSeq lists it as uncharacterized. The transcript has 6 exons. The record is from RefSeq and is a predicted model, not a curated record. Lineage: Eukaryota; Metazoa; Chordata; Lepidosauria; Squamata; Rhineuridae.
UCCCUAAGCCAACAUCGUAAAGUAUGGGGCCCUAAAGUUCAGAGAAGAUGGCUAGCCAGGAAAAAAAACUUACCAGCAGCACAUUCACAGCAGGGAAAGGAUUUACACCCAGUCCUCUCUACAUUUCAGGACAUACAAACAUUUUUUUUCUGUAUGAACACACUGCAGACCAGCAGAGCUGCUGGCAAUUACUGGCAUCAUUAUUGAUAUCAAAUCCAUUUUGCCUUGGGAAGAAGAAUGGGGGGAGAUCCUGUCAAGGCUGAAUAAUCUCUGGACAUGAUGGACCAAAAGCCAUGGCCUUUUGGUGUCUAUGAACAGGGUUGGCCCUUGGCCCAAAAGAGGUUCCCCAUCCCUGCAGAAUUUGACAGAUCCUUCCAUCCCUACCCACAAGAUAAUGAGCAAAGGGAGAGGCAAAGAUACUGUGUCCAGCUGUAACUAUGAAUCCGUGUAGGCAUUUCUUCAUCCAGUCAUGCAAUGGACCAAAGAAAAAGACAGUAAUAGGGAGAUGGACAAGGGGGGAUGUAAGUAGCUCCUAUCAAGAUGGAGUAAUCCCUGAACGUGAUAGACCAAGACAUGCAGCCAUUGGAUGUCAAAAGAUUAUCAUAACUGCAACAGCAGGCUCUCUCUGUUAAAGAAAGACAGAGGAUGAAGCUGAACUGAUGCCUGGCGAGGAUGGAGGAGCCUGCUGGGGUAAAAGAAGACAUUGCCCCAGGUCUGCUUAUCAGCUCUUGAUGGCGGCGAUACUGACUGCGUUUGAAAUGGCUCCCGGACAUC